CCUACGGGAGGCAGCAGUGGGGAAUAUUGCACAAUGGGGGAAACCCUGAUGCAGCGACGCCGCGUGAAGGAAGAAGUCUUUCGGGAUGUAAACUUCUAUCAGCAGGGAAGAAAAUGACGGUACCUGAGUAAGAAGCCCCGGCUAACUACGUGCCAGCAGCCGCGGUAAUACGUAGGGGGCAAGCGUUAUCCGGAAUUACUGGGGGUAAAGGGAGCGGAGACGGCAAUGCAAGUCCGGCGUGAAAUCGGGCGGCUCAACUGCCGAACUGCUCUGGAAACUGGAUGGCUUGAGUGCAGGAGGGGUAGGUGGAAUUCCUGGUGUAGCGGUGAAAUGCGUAGAUAUCAGGAGGAACACCGGUGGCGAAGGCGGCCUACUGGACUGUGACUGACGUUGAGGCGCGAAAGCGUGGGGAGCAAACAGGAUUAGAUACCCUGGUAGUC
This 440-nucleotide ribosomal RNA is filed under the name uncultured bacterium. RNAcentral describes it as "partial 16S ribosomal RNA". It matches the Rfam family "Bacterial small subunit ribosomal RNA", at positions 338 to 795 of the family's 1533-position model. The record is from RNAcentral.